AUGAACGCUGGCGGCGUGCUUAACACAUGCAAGUCGAACGAAGCACCUUGAUUCGAUUCUUCGGAUGAAGAUCUUGGUGACUGAGUGGCGGACGGGUGAGUAACGCGUGGGUAACCUGCCUCAUACAGGGGGAUAACAGUUAGAAAUGACUGCUAAUACCGCAUAAGACCACAGCACCGCAUGGUGCAGGGGUAAAAACUACGGUGGUAUGAGAUGGACCCGCGUCUGAUUAGGUAGUUGGUGGGGUAACGGCCUACCAAGCCGACGAUCAGUAGCCGACCUGAGAGGGUGACCGGCCACAUUGGGACUGAGACACGGCCCAAACUCCUACGGGAGGCAGCAGUGGGGAAUAUUGCACAAUGGGGGAAACCCUGAUGCAGCGACGCCGCGUGAGCGAUGAAGUAUUUCGGUAUGUAAAGCUCUAUCAGCAGGGAAGAAAAUGACGGUACCUGACUAAGAAGCACCGGCUAAAUACGUG
This 478-nucleotide ribosomal RNA is filed under the name uncultured bacterium. Its description in RNAcentral is "partial 16S ribosomal RNA". It matches the Rfam family "Bacterial small subunit ribosomal RNA", at positions 29 to 507 of the family's 1533-position model. The record is from RNAcentral.